UCUAAGCACAUGCCUUAAUACGGUGAAGCCGCGAAUAGCUCAUUACAACAGCCACCGUUUAUUAGAAUAUCGUUAUCCUACUUGGAUAACUGUGGCAAUUCUAGAGCUAAUACAUGCAAAAAAGCUCCGCCCGCGAGGAACGAGCGCAUUUAUUAGAAUAAAAACCAAUCGGGUCUCGGCCCGUAAUUUGGUGAAUCUGAAUAACUUUGCCAAUCGCACGGUCCUAGUACCGGCGAUGUAUCUUUCAAGUGUCUGCCUUAUCAACUUUCGAUGGUAGGUUAUACGCCUACCAUGGUAGUAACGGGUAACGGAGAAUAAGGGUUCGACUCCGGAGAGGGAGCCUGAGAAACGGCUACCACAUCCAAGGAAGGCAGCAGGCGCGCAAAUUACCCACUUCCAGAACGGAGAGGUAGUGACG
Molecule: ribosomal RNA, 418 nt
Filed under: unidentified nematode Sourhope farm
Lineage: Eukaryota; Metazoa; Nematoda
Description: SSU rRNA
Rfam family: Eukaryotic small subunit ribosomal RNA
Source: RNAcentral